CACAAUUUAUCAUCGCUCAUCUUUUCCACAGAAAGCGAAAACUGCUGGAAUUUGUUAAAUGUGAGCUGAUAACUACUCCUGGAUAUGUGGUGCCUAACCAAAAUGGCACGAAACUGAGUAAAGGGAAGUUAUCUUAUGCCUCUUCCGUUCCAUGCUUGUUCGAUUUAGUUCACUCAACUGAGGCUUCUGAUGAGAAAACUCAUAGGUCACGUAGUUCUGGCAGUUCAAUGACAUAUGAGGAUACAUUGCCUGAGGAACAGUUAUAUAUAGAAUUAUCCUUCCGAUAGAUGAUGUUUAGAUUUAAAUCCGCUCAGUAAAUAUACUCCUGUUGUAGAUUCUGAUGAAUCUAUCAAAUGUUUCAGAUCCAUUGAGUCUCGAAAACCUGACUCCCGAUGAGCCAAUGUCACUGAAACUUUACGUUGCAAUUCACAUUUCUGGCUCGCCAACACUGGACAGGCCAGAUAGAAGGCAAGUUCAACCACCUCGCCUAUCAAUCAGGUUACCGAGCUUCAUUUGUGAACAUCUUUCCAGUUAGGCCUCGAUUUCAGGCUGAUGUUCCCAAGUGGAAUGGCUCCUCGAGAAGAGCAUUCUUUACCCCAGGAUGGUGGAAACCAGAGGGAGAAUGAAUGGAAAAUGGAGACCUGCCUCUUGUAGCUGUAUGACACCUGGAUCUGUUGAUUGCAUUAGACAACACAUUCUUGAGAGAAGGCAGCUACUUCAACAGGAACUUGGCCUCGCUUUCUUUGGUUGGUAGUUUGAUGAGAUGGGUGAACAAGUUUCAAAAUCGUGGACAUUGAAGGAACUACAAAAAUUCGAAUUAUUGGUGAAAAUGAAACCAAUACCUACUGGAAGAGCUUUUUGAAACAAGCUUCAAAGUACUUUCCAACCAAGUCCAAGGAAGCCAUCAUCAGUUACUAUUUCAACGUCGUCAUUUCUGCAGCACCUAAGCAGGCAGAUAAGGUCACCUCUAAAAGAAGUUGAUUCAGACAAUAACGAGGUGCACUUCAAUUCCAUAGGCUUGCAAAAGGGAAGUAAAGGGGAAAAUGCCAUCACCAGCAAUUUAAAAGAAGCAAAGACUCGAUAUUUGCGUUUGGUUUCUUAGUCACACUAAAAGGUCACAAUAUCUAACACUAUAGCCAUAGUCUCAUUGGAAGGAAAUACGUCAAAAUCUCAUUUAUAGUUUGAUCCAGUCCGUGGCAUCUUAGCUAAGGUGGACGAUUUGGCACAUUAAUUUGCUUUUUCUCACCAAAUUUCUUUCAGAUUGCGUCUAUCUUGGUUGGUCUUCAAUACAACUAUGCGAAAGAACAUGUAUCGGAGUAUUUUUAUGGUUUCGAGAGCAAUCAUGGGAAAGUAUUAAUUAUCUUCUUUUUUUGCUUCGUAGAUACAUUUAUUUUAACAUGGAUGUUAAUUCUUAUU
Long non-coding RNA from Olea europaea var. sylvestris, 1416 nucleotides. RefSeq lists it as uncharacterized. The transcript has 2 exons. The record is from RefSeq and is a predicted model, not a curated record. Lineage: Eukaryota; Viridiplantae; Streptophyta; Magnoliopsida; Lamiales; Oleaceae.